Molecule: small nuclear RNA, 107 nt
Organism: Molossus molossus (Pallas's mastiff bat)
Lineage: Eukaryota; Metazoa; Chordata; Mammalia; Chiroptera; Molossidae
Source: RefSeq, a predicted model, not a curated record
GUGUUCGUUUUGGCAGCACAUCUGCUAAAACUGGAAUUCUCUAGAAAAGAUUAGCCUGGGCCCUGCACAAAUAUGACAUGCAAAUUUGUAAAGAAUUCGCUGUUUUU